ACCAAAACAGAAAGAGAAAUUAUUUAGUUUGUUUCACUCAACGGCAAAGUAAGGUUAGAAAACAUCAAAGAAGCUGUAAAUAUCCUGGGAACAUCCUUAAUGUAACAGUUCAGGGUUGCUGAAAGGUGUAAAGGAUCGUAAGAUAAAACUCUAAUGUCAAAGACAGAGAUUUUUCUAUCUGAUUGAAGCUGCUGGAGAUCUGCAAACAUCUGAGAUGAUCUACCAGGUUGUGGUUGGAGGAAUAGAUGGAGUUAAGAUCACGAUUGACCUCUGUGACAAUGAGAAGGAGAUGCAGAGAAUCACGGUUGCAGAGCUGAAGGACAAGAUAUUGGAAAAAUUCCUUGGAAUCACUGAGUGUCCAGAAUUGAUGUUUGGGAAUAUGACAUUGAAUGACGACAGAAAGAAGCUGGUUGAUUAUGGAAUCGUGCACAAGUCCAAGAUAAACAUGGUUUUAAACACAGUUGAAGCAGGAGAGCCUGAACUGGACUUUACUGCCGAUGGGAUGGGAGAUAAAAAGGGCGAAACUCGGAAAAGUAAAGAGAGUUCGCUUAAUCUUUAAAACUCAAAAUACAUUUUUGGGUCCAAAGUGCUUCGUUCCACACAUUGAAAUAUUUCAAGCAUUAACUAGAAUCACCUCCCUCCUCAUUCUCAUUUAAACUCUUUUAAGUAACCAAAAUAUUUCUCACUUCCUGCCACAUUGUCUGUGUUCAGUAUUUUAUCUAAAGAUCAGCAGAAAUAUUCUUUGUUUCUGAUUAUUUUCAGUGAGUCAAACAGAGAAAACAUUUGUGGAGCAACUUUAACAAGCUUGUGUUUUGUAUUAAUAAACUAAAUGUGGGAUUUUAAAACUAAUCUUUCUUCUUUAUACAGUUAAAACAAUGAAGAUUUUCUGAAACACAGUGUGAGAAAAUGUGUAGUAAACCUCAAGAGGAAACUCAAAAUGUUUCAAAUUCUGACCAAAUUCUAGAUUAAGAGCAGAAUCAAAGCGUUGAGAUUAGAAUGAGCUACAGGAUAUUAUUUUAACUCCUGAGUAUCAUAAAGCUGAGAUACAAUAACAUCAAUACUUGCUGGCUCAUAAAAAUAAGGCUUAUUUUCUCAAAAGAUAACUAACUUUUUAAGACCAAAUCCAUAAUCUGCAGAAAUGAUGGAAAAAGAUGAUGUAAAACAUUUUAAUUCUUAAAAUAACAAAGCAGUGAGGCUGCUGUCAUUUCCCCAUUUCAAUUUAAUUGGGGGAUAUUUGAUUAGAUACUUGAUUACAUAAUAAUCAUUAUGUAAUAAUCAGAAUUUCUCAUGACAUUGAAAUAUGUAAUGUUUCAGUUGUUGAUUUUUGUGUUUUUAUGCACUUUGAAAUGCCUUGUUGCUGAAAUGCAGGAUACAAAUAAAAUUUGAUGUGAUUUGAUAAAUUCUCUCCGUUGAAUUGUGAAUGAAUCUAAUUUUUAAUCUGACUUUCAUGUGUAAACAGGCUGCAGAUGUCUCACUGUUCCUUCCACUUUUACAGCAAUAUGUUAGAAUAAACCAGCAGCCUGUGGUUUGAUGAAGGAAAUAAUAUGAAAACAGAAAGUUUUGGAUUAUUGGAGGUUUUAGGAAAGAUUGAAGCAAUAAUACAAAUCAGUAAAUCAAACCUUGUUUUGGAAUAAAGGCGUCAUUAUUAGUUUGUGCAAUAAACCUGCUGCUGAAAUGACA
Molecule: long non-coding RNA, 1680 nt
Organism: Xiphophorus maculatus (southern platyfish)
Lineage: Eukaryota; Metazoa; Chordata; Actinopteri; Cyprinodontiformes; Poeciliidae
Exons: 3
Source: RefSeq, a predicted model, not a curated record